GUUUGUACUCUAUACUGUCGUCAUGGCCCAUGGAAUAUUAUAGGAACCCAAAGGGAAAUAAAUGACAAUCUAGAAACCUCAAGAUGCAUAUCUUACCCCAGAUAACAAACAUUUUCUUUGAAGAGCAUAUCAUCCAUUACCUACUGUGCCAUUUGUAUUGCACUACAGCCAAGCUAAGAUCUGCCGGUGGUAGCUGGUCCACUGCAAGACGUUGAGGUGCGGGAGGUCCCUCUGCCCCCCCUGGACGUCAAGGGGGCUCCGGCGUACACUGUACCUGCAGUACCUCAUCGAUUGGGAGGGGUACGGUCUGGAGGAGAGGUGCUGGGUGCUGGUGGGGGACAUCUUGG
Oncorhynchus tshawytscha (Chinook salmon) is the source of this 347-nucleotide long non-coding RNA. The record is from Ensembl. NCBI's taxonomy places the organism in Eukaryota, Metazoa, Chordata, Actinopteri, Salmoniformes, Salmonidae.